RNAcentral lists this ribosomal RNA (497 nucleotides) under uncultured bacterium. RNAcentral's name for it is "partial 16S ribosomal RNA". It matches the Rfam family "Bacterial small subunit ribosomal RNA", at positions 28 to 507 of the family's 1533-position model. The record is from RNAcentral.
GAUGAACGCUGGCGGCGUGCCUACUACAUGCCAGUCGAGCGAACGGACGAGAAGCUUUCUUCUCUGAUGUUAGCGGCGGACGGGGGAGUAACACGUGGAUAACCUACCUAUAAGACUGGGAUAAAUUCGGGAAACCGGAGCUAAUACCGGAUAAUAUUUUGAACCGCAUGGUUCAAAAGUGAAAGACGGUCUUGCUGUCACUUAUAGAUGGAUCCGCGCUGCAUUAGCUAGUUGGUAAGGUAACGGCUUACCAAGGCAACGAUGCAUAGCCGACCUGAGAGGGUGAUCGGCCACACUGGAACUGAGACACGGUCCAGACUCCUACGGGAGGCAGCAGUAGGGAAUCUUCCGCAAUGGGCGAAAGCCUGACGGAGCAACGCCGCGUGAGUGAUGAAGGUCUUCGGAUCGUAAAACUCUGUUAUUAGGGAAGAACAUAUGUGUAAGUAACUGUGCACAUCUUGACGGUACCUAAUCAGAAAGCCACGGCUAACUACGUG